RNAcentral lists this ribosomal RNA (497 nucleotides) under uncultured bacterium. RNAcentral describes it as "partial 16S ribosomal RNA". It matches the Rfam family "Bacterial small subunit ribosomal RNA", at positions 28 to 507 of the family's 1533-position model. The record is from RNAcentral.
GAUGAACGCUGGCGGCGUGCCUAAUACAUGCAAGUCGAGCGAACGGACGAGAAGCUUGCUUCUCUGAUGUUAGCGGCGGACGGGUGAGUAACACGUGGAUAACCUACCUAUAAGACUGGGAUAACUUCGCGAAACCGGAGCUAAUACCGGAAGAUAAUUUGAACCUCAUGGUUCCAACGUGAAAGAAGGUCUUGCUGUCAGUUAUAGAUGGAUCCGCGCUGCAUUCGCUAGUUGGUCAGGUAACGGCUUAACAAGGCAACGAUGCUUAGCCGACCUGAAAGGGAGAAUGGGCAGACGGGAAGAGAGACACGGUCGCCACUCUUGGGGGAGGCAGCAGUAGGGAAUCUUACGCGAUGGGGGAGUGCGUGACGGAGCGAAGCCGGCGGAGUGAUGAAGGAGCUCUGAUGCUAAAACGCUGUUAGUAGGAGAGAACAAAUAUGUUUUUAACGGUGAACAUCAUGACGGUACCUAGACAGAAAGCCACGGCUAACUUCGUG